AAUAAGUGCAGUUUUACACUGUUUAUGUCUCACGUUUGACCGUUCAUUUUAUUUGAAAUUUUUUUACGAUUAAUAUUUUUAUUGUUAUUAGAUGAUAAAACAUGAAUAGUGUGACUAACUUAUUUUAUUUUUUUAUAAAUUUUUUAAAUAAGACGAAUGGUCAAACGUUGGACACGGAUACCCACGGCUGCACUUAUU
Non-coding RNA from Oryza glumipatula, 198 nucleotides. NCBI's taxonomy places the organism in Eukaryota, Viridiplantae, Streptophyta, Magnoliopsida, Poales, Poaceae. The record is from Rfam.